AUUGUGACAUGAAUUUAUUGUGUCCAAUAGUAUCUCCAAGUUAUAAAACUAGUUAUUUUAGCGAAAGCACCAUUUUCUAAUGUACAGUCUAGACGAUAUAAAGUAUCCGCGCUCAAGAACAUAAACCGGACAGCGGACCCUACGUCCAAAAUUUAAUGAAACAAAGCCUCUCCUACCCUCCGGUGAAUUAUAGACGAAUAAAAUAUUGGUGACAAGAAAGAAAAAGUAACGGCCCCUAAAGGGGCCGAGGGACGUCGCACCAGAUUUUAUUACGCGAGACACAAAGGACGACCCGCCACGCCAUGGCCCUCUUGAAAUAAAAAAAAAUGCAGUGACAUGAAAAAUGCCCUUCGUGAUAGGUGAAAUGAAAAGGCAGAGAACGUCCUUUCCUGCAGAUAUGAGGUUUGUGAGCAAAGCUGCUUACGUCUGCGAAAAAUGUCAAGUCCCUAUUCAAGCGAGUUGGAUACGGUAAAGUCAGAGUUCAAGCAACCUUCAAGACGUCUAACGGCUUACACAAAUUUAAUAUCAGACUGUUCAUCACGGUCCAUUCGUAUUCAAAUUAAUUCUGAAGCGGGGCUGGAGAUGUGGGUAAAAUUGUACAUGCUAAGUGUUACUACUAUGUGGCAAUGUUGAAGUGAAAUAUUUAGAGACGUUUUAAUUUUGGUGUCGUGAUUUAUAAGUAUACAAUAUACAUGUCUUAUAUUAUCGUAAUAUAAAUAUAUGCGCCAUAAGCUAUAUACACGGUGGCUAAAAAAUUAACUGCAUUCCCGUUGCCAGGGAGGUUUUGGGAUUUUACUGAGCAACUUUUACUAUGGGACCACCUUUCGAGGUUGGCCUCGAAAUCGCGAAAAAUAAUUUACCCUCCCAUAGAAAAUGGAUCAGCCAAAAUGUAUGAAACAGCCAAAUUUUUUUUUCGCGAUUUUGGGGUUGGUCUCAUAGUAAAAUUU
This is a long non-coding RNA of Cydia splendana, 947 nucleotides long. RefSeq lists it as uncharacterized. The record is from RefSeq and is a predicted model, not a curated record. Lineage: Eukaryota; Metazoa; Arthropoda; Insecta; Lepidoptera; Tortricidae. The transcript has 3 exons.